Cyprinus carpio (common carp) is the source of this 760-nucleotide long non-coding RNA. RefSeq lists it as uncharacterized. The transcript is spliced from 4 exons. NCBI's taxonomy places the organism in Eukaryota, Metazoa, Chordata, Actinopteri, Cypriniformes, Cyprinidae. The record is from RefSeq and is a predicted model, not a curated record.
CAACCGGCCGCAGGGUGGCGCAUUGCACUUAAGUGCCUACUGUACAUUCCUCUUUCCUGGAAGCAAGCCGUCCGCCAGAUGUCGCGGCGUCUCUGCGUGGGAAGAGGAGAGGAGGGGCCUGGCCUGGGAAUCCGCUGCUUCCCAUUCCAGGCGCAGGGGCACAACAUGGCGGAUUAAGAGGCGAGCGACGCGCCCGGAUACAACCAACAAAUCGUGGGAUACUGAUUCCCCGUGUCGCGGAGAAGGCAGGAAUAUAGGCUUUUAGGAAAGCUAGCGCACACCUUUAAGACAUCCCGAGACAUGCAUUUUGGAUACAAGUAAGCGCCCUUGUUGCUUUGCCCCACUCCAAAAUUGGCUGUCUGUCCGAGAUCAUUCCUAUCACCCAGGCCCCCCACCCCGAACACACUCUUGGUUCCUGGGGUGUGGAGACAGGGGCCGGGGAAGGUGGAAAACAAUCGCACUUUAUCUGGAACAUCAGGCUCCGUAGCGCGGGACAGGGCUGUCAAGGAGAUCAUUGUGCGGAUGAGUGAGUGAUGCAGGUUUCGUUUCUCCAGGGCAGUAUGGGUGUGUGUCCCUGCUCCUGCUAUCCCACGUAGCCUUUGUGGCCCCUCAGCAUGGGGCCCAGACACUCCAUGACCCUUCAGGUCCAGUCCUGUCUACCAAACACACACCCACUUCUCCCAACAUCACCCGCUAUAGUCACCCAGGCACCCCCAUCAUCCACCCCAUCUGAGGCUCCACCGUCUCCCUGAACUUGUAA